GCUUAUAAAAAAGAAUAAAAAGUAAUAUCUGCUCAAUGUAAUAUAAAUAGCUGCAGGAGACUGUACUAAGGUAGCAUAAUCAUUAGACUUUUAAUUAAAGUCUUGUAUGAAAGAUUUAAUGAAAGAUUAUUAUUUUAUUUAUUAUUAUUUAACUUAGAUAUUUAGUAAAAAUACUAAAAUAAAAUUUAGGGACAAGAAGACCCUAUAAAGCUUUAGAAAAAUUCUCAUUAUUAGAGUUCAAUUUCUUAUAUUGGGGUAAUAAAAUAAAAAUAAAUAACUUAUUAAUAGAUCCAGAAUUUCUGAUUAUUUGAAAAAGUUACUUUAGGGAUAACAGCAUUAUAAUUAAAUUUAAGCUCAAAUUAAAUUUUUCGUUUAUGACCUCGAUGUUGGAUUAAUAUUACUAUUAAGGAGCAAAGUCCUAAUUAGUUAGUCU
RNAcentral lists this ribosomal RNA (433 nucleotides) under Microgovia sp. MCZ-46908. Its description in RNAcentral is "partial 16S ribosomal RNA". Lineage: Eukaryota; Metazoa; Arthropoda; Arachnida; Opiliones; Neogoveidae. The record is from RNAcentral.